UAGCAGUAUUGCUAAACCUCCCUUCCAGUAGGUGGAGUACUGAGAAUUUAAACUUAGUUCACUUGGUUAACUGUUUGUACUACAACACUGGCUGUUAAGCAUGGAGCGAGAUGGAAAGACCAAAAAGACUUCUUCCUCAAAAAUAUGUGGACAAUGAAGAGACAGGUGUGACCAAGGAUGAAGCAUCAAGACAAGAAAGAAGCAGGUCAAGCAGCCAAGUUGAGGUGGCAAAGGUAAAGGUGGAAAUCAAAUUCCUACAUGAUGAAUGCACAGUUUUGAAGGAACAUGUGGACAAAUUAACAUCUGUUCCUGACAUGGCUGCAGGUCCUUCAGGAUGGAGAGGGGCAGAAGAUUCCGCAUCCUGCUUUCUGAUAGACGAAAAAAAGGAAAAGCACAAGAAGAAGAAGAUCAAGAAGAACAAAAAAUAUAACAUUUUACCUAAAAGAAACAUAUAAUCAAUGAUGAUUGUAAAUAAAUAAAUAAAUAAGUUUAAUGUUAUGUAUUGUUGUACAGAUUGUUUUUGCUUUUAUUAAGAUUUAACAAAAAAUUGGUCUCAGUGGUAUGUACUUACAGAGUAAGAACAGCAGAACACUGCACACUACAUAAUACAGCCCGCUCUCUGUUGUUUCUGAGUACUUACUGGGUACUUACAGAGUAAGAACAGCAGAACACUGCACACUACAUAAUACAGCCCGCUCUCUGUUGUUUCUGAGUACUUACUGGGUACUUACAGAGUAAGAACAGCAGAACACUGCACACUACAUAAUACAGCCCGCUCUCUGUUGUUUCUGAGUACUUACUGGGUACUUACAGAGUAAGAACAGCAGAACACUGCACACUACAUAAUACAGCCCGCUCUCUGUUGUUUCUGAGUACUUACUGGGUACUUACAGAGUAAGAACAGCAGAACACUGCACACUACAUAAUACAGCCCGCUCUCUGUUGUUUCUGAGUACUUACUGGGUACUUACAGAGUAAGAACUGCAGAACACUGCACACUACAUAAUACAGCCCGCUCUCUGUUGUUUCUGAGUACUUACUGGGUACUUACAGAGUAAGAACUGCAGAACACUGCACACUACAUAAUACAGCCCGCUCUCUGUUGUUUCUGAGUACUUACAGAGUAAGUACUGCAUACUUUCAGAGUAAGAACAGUAGAACUCGGUGAAGUGUGGGUUUAAAGUUCUUUUUAGAACAGGGGUUAUAAAAAGCAGCUUUACAGGACAAGGUGUGCACCAGGACUCCAGGAGCAAGACAAAGGCAACAACGGUGAGAAGAGUCGAGCAGAAAAGGACUGAAGAUGGAAACCUAUCCACCAUUAUCCAUUAAAAUAAAACCUUGUGUUUUCUGUGUAUUAACAAAUAAAUUUCCUUUGAAAUCUCA
Molecule: long non-coding RNA, 1383 nt
Organism: Astyanax mexicanus (Mexican tetra)
Lineage: Eukaryota; Metazoa; Chordata; Actinopteri; Characiformes; Acestrorhamphidae
Exons: 4
Source: RefSeq, a predicted model, not a curated record